GCUUCCGUAGCUCAGUUGGUUAGAGCUUCGUACUAAUACUCUCCUUAAGGUGCUGCAUUAGUGAUGCGAAGGUCCACGGUUCAAGCCCGUGCGGGAGCA
Non-coding RNA from Thelonectria olida, 99 nucleotides. Lineage: Eukaryota; Fungi; Ascomycota; Sordariomycetes; Hypocreales; Nectriaceae. The record is from the annotation of a GenBank genome assembly.